GUGAGGAAUAUUGCUCAAUGGGAGAAAUCCUGAAGCAGCAACGCCGCGUGGAGGAUGAAGGGUCCAUGACUUGUAAACUCCUGUAAAGAAGGAAAAAAUUCCCAUUUGAUGGGAGAUGAUGGUACUUCUGGAGUAAGCCCCGGCUAACUACGUGCCAGCAGCCGCGGUAAUACGUAGGGGGCAAGCGUUGUCCGGAUUUACUGGGUGUAAAGGGUGCUCAGGCGGAUUUGUAAGUCAGAGGUGAAAUCUUACAGCUUAACUGUGAAACUGCCUUUGAUACUGCAAGCCUAGAGUAUGGAAGAGAGUGAUGGAAUAUCUGGUGUAGCAGUGAAAUGCGUAGAUAUCAGAUAGAACACCAAUGGCGAAGGCAGUCACUUGGUCCAUUACUGACGCUAAAGCACGAAAGCGUGGGUAGCAAACA
This 421-nucleotide ribosomal RNA is filed under the name uncultured bacterium. RNAcentral's name for it is "bacterial SSU rRNA". It matches the Rfam family "Bacterial small subunit ribosomal RNA", at positions 354 to 774 of the family's 1533-position model. The record is from RNAcentral.